AUUUCCGAGCACCUUAGACAUGGUCCUAUCGUCUCUGGCAAAUGUCAGUGAGUCAUAAAAGUUUGAUGUACGUUGGCUAACUGUUAAAAGAACAGCUUAUUACUUGAAAGGUAAAUCUAAAAUUCAUAUAUCUCGAUUUUACAGAUAGCAAAAGGGUACCGUAAAGUGCAUAAAAACAAACACACACACAUGCAAGCGCUGUAUAUUAAAUCGGAGGUUUGAAACAUUUCGCCAUUACUGCAAUGAAUUGCUACUGAUCAUUUGAUUAGCUGUAAUUUUACAUUAUCAUGAACCCACUCAAAAAAUAAAUAAACUAUAUAGAGUUAAGAAUGACUUACAGAGUUUCACAAUCAAUAUGAGCAAAACCCAUGUAGGCUAUAUAUAGCCUAAUACAACGUGGAUCGAGCGAAUACAUGUAGUAUCCAAGUUUUAUACUUAUAAUUAAAAUCUUAUAUUAGCCUAUAUAUAGUAUAGUAUAACCUAACUUGCCUUUCAUUAACUUUGCUUUCAUGUUCUACUUAUUUGUUGGUAAUGAAAAUUAGUUUGAAAAUUGAAAAUUUUUGUUGAAAUUUGAAACAUUUCGCUAUUAUUGGCAACAACGUUGGUUCUUUAAAAACCAAGUUUAUCCUUAUCGGUCCAAAAACAUUUCUACCGAUCGCGAUGUCAUUAUUAUGGGCUAUAUAUAGCUAGUUAUAAACUUAUAAUACAUAAAUCGUGGCGUCGAUGGAAAAUGUACAUGUGUUGUUUAAUUGCCACGUCGAUCAUUGCACCACGCAUUCAGUAUAAUCUAUAAUCUAUAAGUCCUGACUGAUAUAUAUUAAAAUAACAAAUUGACAAUUGCUAAAGAGUAAUAUAAGAUAUAAUUUUAAAUGACAAGCAAAGUCAGAGUUUUGGGGAAUAUAUAUUUGUUAAAGAAAUGUAUAGGUCUAAGUGAAUUAUGGCAUAAUUAUAGCAUAUGUCGAUAAAUUGGAGGGAUAACUUAAUUUCAUUAUGUUUCGUUAUCAAGUUAUAUACAUGCAUGCACCGAAAUACAUGGCCACCUAUAUCAUUGCUGCCGUAGCGAGCGAGCGUGAAGCGAGCGAGGCAGCAGUCCUAAUCUUUAUGUAUAUGUAUAUAUAUAUAUAUAUAUAUAAGGCAGAUGAAAUCUCGAUGGUUUAAUUUCGGCGUAUUUUGGCCUACCACAAUGCACUGCUUCCGGGCCGGCAGGCUAUUCUUGCCUAAUAAACAGGCAUAAGGCAAACAAGCAAUGUAAUCAUCUUUCAUCAUUGGUUUUCUUUUAUGACCUUUUAUGGAAAGCCAUGCAUAGCUGGCGUAAGUGAUCAAACGGCAUUUUGUCGAUACGCAGCAGUGAUACGCAGUGGUUCGAGCGUUAUACGCGGUGCUUUCGUAUAUUAUACGCAGUGGUUCGAGCAUUAUACGUGGUGCUUUCGCCAUUAUACACGCGGUGCGCUCGCCAUUACGGCGGGCCUAUACGGGGUGCUUUUAACAAAAUUUCCUAUAUCCUUUCCAUGUAUAUAAUCUCACGAUUGCUUAAAUUUGGUAUGUGGCUGUGCUUUUUUGCCUCUGGUGUGCAAUGACAAUGGCAUGCUUUUAAAAAGGUUUAUUUAUAAAAAGGUGACUGCACUUUGUGAGUUCUAUAUUAUCAUGUAGUGUUGAUUUAUUAGUAAUAAAUCUGUGUAUAUAACAUAGCUAUACAAAUUAAUAUAACGCAGCGAAUGCGCGCCAAGCAGUAUAAACGCGGUUGAAAUACGAUAUUAAAAUCUUGAAUGUGCUGUAUGAUUUAAUUAUGUUUUAGGAUUUAAAGCAGCGAAUGCGGGCUAAGCAGUAUAAACGCGGCUGAAAUACGAUAUUAAAAUCUUGAAUGUGCCGUAUGAUUUAAUUAUGUUUUAGGAUUUAAAGCCUUUAAAAAUGCUUUGUCAUUUGUAUUUGUACUUGUACUGCAUCACAAGGCAGUGAACAGAUUCCACAAGUAAGUGAACAGAUUCCACAUGUGAGGUUGUCUUGUAUAUAUUUUUGCCUUCUUUGAUAAACAUUAUUAAACACGUAAAUUUAGUGAGACGCACAUUCGCACAUGUUAAAUGUCACCUGCAUGUCAUUGCCCUUUAACCCCUGGUCUAAAUCAUAGUUAUUGAAGCGGGGCCGUUUUGACCUACAGUAGCACCGUAUUUGUACGCAAAUUGUCUAUACAAUUUUAUAUACUAGAUAUCACAGCCAUACCUGCCAUUUUGAUCUUUUCCUCGCGUUAGAUAAGUUGAUAAGGGGCAAGUCAUCAUUAAUGUCGGGUAGGGGGCCGGAGGAAAUUUUUAUGAGUAGCAAACAUUUUUCAUGACCCCUUAUUUUUCUAACAAAAUCAUUUUAUCCCCUCCCCUUAUAGAGGCAACAUACUUCAUAGCCCCCCCCCCCGCUUCCCACCAAUUCUGAAUUCAAUGACUCUAAGUCAGUUUCGUAACCAUUUUUCCUGCCUUCAUACUCAGUUUACUUGCAGCUGUAAAGAAUAUUGUAAAUAUUGAAAAUGAUAGCCAAGGUGGACAGGAGUGACUUUAGUUUCACAAUAGACACAAUAGAUAAUUCAGACUUUAUACCUAAAAAGUUGUUGGCCCUUAAACAAAAACCCCACUGAUCAGGCCUACUUUUACUAAUUGAAAAAAUACAUUUGUGUCUGGUGGAAGCAUUAUAUUGAAGAAAUUGCAGAAGAGACUGUCAACAACAUACAGAAAGAGAACAUGCCAAAGAGGUCCUCUGUGUUAAAAAGCGUAAAACAGGACAACAACUCUCAAUUGGAUCUUGCAUUUGCAAAUGCAGCCAAAUUCUAUGGUGAUGAUGAGGAUGACAAUUUCCAUAUACAGUAGCUAGAACACAACUUUUAGGUCCAAUAUAUUGGGCAUUACUGUCUAAUGUAUGUAUGUGUACUGUAUAUAUCCAUUACUCUUGCUAUUACAUGUUACAAACUAUUCCAUAGAUUUUAUUUUUUGUUCCCCCCCUUUAUGUCCAAAUUAUUUGUCUGCCCCCCCCCCGAUUCACUAGUCAAAAAUUUUUUGUGGCCCCUCUAAAUUUCCUCCGGUCCCCUACCCGGCAUUAAUAAUGACUGGUCCCUAAGUACACUCAUUCUUGUUAACCAUCGUAUCUGUUCGGCUGUUCCUUAAUUUUUCGAUACGAAACUUCGAGCGCCGAGUUAUCGUACGGCACAUUCAAGUGUAUAAAUUAUGGAUGAUUCCAAUUAAUUACAAAUAUUUCUUACUCUUAUUCUUGCACUGAUAUUAAAGAUUUGGGAACAAUGCUAUACCAAGGCAGCAUUCACUACCCUGUGGGUAAACUAGUAGUAAAUUAUACACGAACACGAACAGUAUUUGACAGAUUGGUAUUUACAAGUAGUUCUUGUUGCCUUUAGGCAAUUUAGUAUAUCUGUAUGACCUCGUAUAAAGUAUAUAGGUAAUUAACAGAGCGUAUAAUGUAAACAUUUUUCAAAUAUCGUGCACGAACAGAUAUUGUCAGGGGACCUCGUCUCGAGGUAAUAAAAUAGAACUGAAUUAGGACCUCGUCUCGAGGUAUAAUAGAAUAGAAAAUGAAUUAGGACCUCGUCGAGGUAAUAUAGAAUAUAGAAAAUGAAAGUUAGGAUCUGAGCACCAAUUGCAAGCAAAUUAACACGAGAUUAAAUCGAAUAGCCUGCAAACCCCAAGAUUAUUAUAGAUAAUGAAGAUAAGAUAUAUAUACUAUAUGUAUAUAUAUAUAUAUAUAUAUAUAUAUAUAUAUAUAUAUAUAUAUAUAUAUAUAUAUAUAUAUAUAUAUAUAUAUACAUACAUGCACACAAGUUGACUUUUCAACUUAAACUUACACGCAAAACGGUUGGACUAUGGUAAAUAAUGCAUCACUCUUUCAGCAUCUUCUGCACAAUUGUCAACCGGCCACCCCCGACAGUGUCUCGAACUUUUUUCUUUCCUUGCAUUCCUGUUCGAGUAGCGGGUUUCAACUAUACUUACCUCUUAUACAAUUAAGGCAUGCCCAAAGCUUGGAACUUAAUUUAAAAAUAAAUGUCUGAUAGCAUAAUCGAGUAAAGCAUGCAUGCGGUAUAAAAUAUUUUCUUUCAAAUUUUAUUUUACAGUAAGAUGUCAAAAAAACCAGCUUUUCUCAUCAUUUUCGCAGCCUUGGUUAUCGCAUACUUCCUGUUAUGUCGAUCAGUUAAAGAUGAAGGUAA
Molecule: long non-coding RNA, 4192 nt
Filed under: Paramuricea clavata
Lineage: Eukaryota; Metazoa; Cnidaria; Anthozoa; Malacalcyonacea; Plexauridae
Source: RNAcentral